Molecule: ribosomal RNA, 252 nt
Filed under: uncultured bacterium
Lineage: Bacteria
Description: partial 16S ribosomal RNA
Rfam family: Bacterial small subunit ribosomal RNA
Source: RNAcentral
UACGUAGGGGGCAAGCGUUGUCCGGAUUUAUUGGGCGUAAAGAGCGUGUAGGCGGCUUUACAGGUCCGUUGUGAAACUCGAGGCUCAACCUCGAGACGCCGGUGGAAACCGUAAAGCUAGAGUCCGGAAGAGGAGAGUGGAAUUCCUGGUGUAGCGGUGAAAUGCGCAGAUAUCAGGAAGAACACCCGUGGCGAAGGCGGCUCUCUGGGACGGUACUGACGCUGAGACGCGAAAGCGUGGGGAGCGAACAGG